GGGGAAUAUUGCACAAUGGGCGAAAGCCUGAUGCAGCAACGCCGCGUGAGCGAUGAAGGCCUUCGGGUCGUAAAGCUCUGUCCUAAGGGAAGAAUAAAUGACGGUACCUUAGGAGGAAGCCCCGGCUAACUACGUGCCAGCAGCCGCGGUAAUACGUAGGGGGCAAGCGUUAUCCGGAAUUAUUGGGCGUAAAGAGUGCGUAGGUGGAUUUACAAGCCUUUGGUGAAAGGCUACGGCUUAACCGUAGUAAGCCUUAGGAACUGUAAGUCUUGAGUGCAGGAGAGGAAAGCGGAAUUCCUAAUGUAGCGGUGAAAUGCGUAGAUAUUAGGAGGAAUACCAGUAGCGAAGGCGGCUCUCUGGACUGUAACUGACACUGAGGCACGAAAGCGUGGGGAGCAAAC
RNAcentral lists this ribosomal RNA (401 nucleotides) under uncultured bacterium. RNAcentral describes it as "bacterial SSU rRNA". It matches the Rfam family "Bacterial small subunit ribosomal RNA", at positions 356 to 773 of the family's 1533-position model. The record is from RNAcentral.